Aethalodelphis obliquidens (Pacific white-sided dolphin) is the source of this 601-nucleotide long non-coding RNA. RefSeq lists it as uncharacterized. The record is from RefSeq and is a predicted model, not a curated record. The transcript is spliced from 3 exons. NCBI's taxonomy places the organism in Eukaryota, Metazoa, Chordata, Mammalia, Artiodactyla, Delphinidae.
UAGGACCAAUCAGAACAGGUGCUGGCUAUAAACAAUGGGUGUGUCUAGUUCAGACCUACUGACUAUGAACCUUGAUGUGGAUAUUCAUUGUAUUAUUCUGUAAACUAUUCACAGAUAUUUCUGUUCACUUUUUUGGAUAUAUGUUUCAUAGAAAAGAAUUAAGAGACUGAUUCAUUCUUUAGCUGGAUAGCUUCAGACAGUUUCCGACUGGCUGGUGCCCAGUUUAUAUGAACUAUCAAUGUUUUGAGUGUAACGCCCAGUUGAGUCAGCCCAGCCAGAGCAGGGCUCACAGGACUGGUUUUAGGAUGUGCAUCCUCUCAGACCGGCUGGGGCUUUAACAGAGGCCCACGCCUUCAGAAGGUGACCUAAAGGACCGACUACUGGGCCACCCCCUUGGCCAGUUAUCACCUCUCCUGGAUCCAGACCAUUCAUUAAAGCGGCACAGUGACCACUGAGAUCCUGCCCACGAGAGAAAGGCACAGCUGACAGAGGGAGAGAGUCCAGCUAAAGGUGGCUUUCGCUGUUACGUGCAGUCAAAGGAGCCCAUCUAAUGAGGCACAGGACGCAGAAGGAAAGGGCUCACCAGCAAACUUGAUGGCUG